RNAcentral lists this long non-coding RNA (323 nucleotides) under Salmo salar (Atlantic salmon). Its description in RNAcentral is "lncRNA (ENSSSAG00000118651.1)". The record is from RNAcentral. Lineage: Eukaryota; Metazoa; Chordata; Actinopteri; Salmoniformes; Salmonidae.
UAGUGUGUAUCUGUAGGUUAGUGUGUAUCUGUAGGUUAGUGUGUAUCUGUAGGUUAGUCUGUAGGUUAGUGUGUAUCUGUAGGUUAGUGUGUAUCUGUAGGUUAGUGUGUAUCUGUAGGUUAGUGUGUAUCUGUAGGUUAGUGUGUAUCUGUAGAUUAGUGUGUAGGUUAGUGUGUAUCUGUAGGUUAGUGUGUAUCUGUAGGUUAGUGUGUAUCUGUAGGUUAGUGUGUAUCUGUAGAUUAGUGUGUAGGUUAGUGUGUGUCUGUAGGUUAGUGUGUAUCUGUAGGUUAGUGUGUAGGUUAGUGUGUAUCUGUAGGUUAGUG